CCAUGAUUGUAUAAUAUCAAGACUACAAUGGAUCUAUAGGGUAAGAUCCUUUAUCUACAGCGGAAUGGUAUACAAAGUCAACAGAUCUCAAUCAAAAAAAUAGGAUUUAUGGCUACACAAACCGCUGAGGGUAGUUCUAGAUCUGGUCCAAGACGAACUGUUGUAGGAGAUUUAUUGAAACCAUUGAAUUCAGAAUAUGGUAAAGUAGCUCCGGGGUGGGGAACUACCCCUUUGAUGGGGAUUGCAAUGGCCCUUUUUGCGGUAUUUCUCUCUAUUAUUUUAGAGAUUUAUAAUUCGUCCCUUUUACUGGACCAAAUUUCUAUGAAUUAGAGAAUUCGAUUCACAAGAACCAACUAACUAGCUUUUCAAUAGAAAAGUAAAGUUUGCCAUUUAGAUCGUUCCUUUUUAGCCCAUUCCAUUUUGAUUUAUUUGGUAGUUCGACCGCGAAACUUCUUUGUUUCUGUAUUUCCGGAAUAUGAGUGUGUGACUUGUUAUAAUGGAUCCUAUUGAUAGAUCAAGACUACAAUGGAUCUAUAGGGUAAGAUCCUUUAUCUACAGCGGAAUGGUAUACAAAGUCAACAGAUCUCAAUCAAAAAAAUAGGAUUUAUGGCUACACAAACCGUUGAGGGUAGUUCUAGAUCUAGUCCAAGACGAACUGUUGUAGGAGAUUUAUUGAAACCAUUGAAUUCAGAAUAUGGUAAAGUAGCUCCGGGGUGGGGAACUACCCCUUUGAUGGGGAUUGCAAUGGCCCUAUUUGCGGUAUUUCUCUCUUUUAUUUUAGAGAUUUAUAAUUCGUCCCUUUUACUGGACCAAAUUUCUAUGAAUUAGAGAAUUCGAUUCACAAGAACCAACUAACUAGCUUUUCAAUAGAAAAGUAAAGUUUACCAUUUAGAUCGUUCCUUUUAGCCCAUUCCAUUUUGAUUUAUUUGGUAGUUCGACCGCGAAACUUCUUUGUUUCUGUAUUUCCGGAAUAU
This 974-nucleotide long non-coding RNA is filed under the name Lathyrus oleraceus (garden pea). RNAcentral describes it as "Pisum sativum (pea) long non-coding RNA (PSAT_LNC003413)". Lineage: Eukaryota; Viridiplantae; Streptophyta; Magnoliopsida; Fabales; Fabaceae. The record is from RNAcentral.